Molecule: long non-coding RNA, 711 nt
Filed under: Ananas comosus (pineapple)
Lineage: Eukaryota; Viridiplantae; Streptophyta; Magnoliopsida; Poales; Bromeliaceae
Description: long non-coding RNA (ACOM_LNC031718)
Source: RNAcentral
CUAUAUACCCCUCAAAACUUUAAAAAUAUCUCAUUUAUCCCUACUUUUUUUUUUCUUUCCCAAUAUACCCCUCAUAUGUUCCUCUGCUAUUCCAAAACCCCCCUGCAAUUACCACCCGUUAAGUUAACUUGGGUUAAAGAUGAGUUAAAUAUCUAUUACAGUUAAAAAAAUUAAAAUGCUACUUUUGCCCUUAAAUUUAAGAGCGAAUAAGAAAGAUUGGUUUUGGUAGAAGGGUAUAUUUGAAAAGACCAAAAGGCAAAAUACCCCUUAUAUGUUCCUCCGUUAUUCCAAAAUUCCCCUGCAGUUACCAUCCGUUAAGUUAACUUGGGUUAAAUAUGAGUUAAAUAUCUAUCACAGUUAAAAAAAAUUAAAAUGCUAUCUUUGCCCUUAAAUUAAGGGCAAAUAAGAAAGGUUGGUGUGGUAGAAGGGUAUAUUUGAAAAGAUCAAAAGUUAAAAUACUUUAAUUUUGUGCUCCUAACUUAAGGGCAAAUAAAAAAAGUCAGUGAUGAUAGAAGGGUAUAUUUGAAAGGGUAAAAUAGUAAUUUCAUAGAGAUAACAAAGUUCAAUAACCGAUUUUAACUCUAGGGUAUAUUUAAAAUAGGUUGGAACGUAAAAAAGAUAUUUUCAAUAUUAGCCUUCUAAAAAGAAAAAAUCAUAAAGUCGGAAACUUUUCGGGGUUAUAUAAGUAAUUGCCCCAUUAUAAUCUUUGCC